GAUGAACGCUGGCGGCGUGCCUAAUACAUGCAAGUCGAGCGAACAGACGAGGAGCUUGCUCCUCUGACGUUAGCGGCGGACGGGUGAGCAACACGUGGAUAACCUACCUAUAAGACUGGGAUAACUUCGGGAAACCGGAGCUAAUACCGGAUAAUAUAUUGAACCGCAUGGUUCAAUAGUGAAAGACGGUUUUGCUGUCACUUAUAGAUGGAUCCGCGCCGCAUCAGCUAGUUGGUAAGGUAACGGCUUACCAAGGCAACGAUGCGUAGCCGACCUGAGAGGGUGAUCGGCCACACUGGAACUGAGACACGGUCCAGACUCCUGCGGGAGGCAGCAGUAGGGAAUCUUCCGCAAUGGGCGAAAGCCUGACGGAGCAACGCCGCGUGAGUGAUGAAGGUCUUCGGAUCGUAAAACUCUGUUAUUAGGGAAGAACAAAUGUGUAAGUAACUAUGCACGUCUUGACGGUACCUAAUCAGAAAGCCACGGCUAACUACGU
This 496-nucleotide ribosomal RNA is filed under the name uncultured bacterium. RNAcentral's name for it is "partial 16S ribosomal RNA". It matches the Rfam family "Bacterial small subunit ribosomal RNA", at positions 28 to 506 of the family's 1533-position model. The record is from RNAcentral.